UAGACGUGCUACAGUGAUU
Molecule: non-coding RNA, 19 nt
Filed under: Arabidopsis thaliana (thale cress)
Lineage: Eukaryota; Viridiplantae; Streptophyta; Magnoliopsida; Brassicales; Brassicaceae
Source: RNAcentral